Molecule: ribosomal RNA, 427 nt
Filed under: uncultured beta proteobacterium
Lineage: Bacteria; Pseudomonadati; Pseudomonadota; Betaproteobacteria
Description: bacterial SSU rRNA
Rfam family: Bacterial small subunit ribosomal RNA
Source: RNAcentral
UGGGGAAUUUUGGACAAUGGGCGAAAGCCUGAUCCAGCCAUGCCGCGUGAGUGAAGAAGGCCUUCGGGUUGUAAAGCUCUUUUAGUCGGAAAGAAAGAGUUGCAAUGAAUAAUUGUGAUUUAUGACGGUACCGACAGAAAAAGCACCGGCUAACUACGUGCCAGCAGCCGCGGUAAUACGUAGGGUGCGGGCGUUAAUCGGAAUUACUGGGCGUAAAGGGUGCGCAGGCGGUCUUGCAAGUCAGAUGUGAAAGCCCCGGGCUUAACCUGGGAAUUGCGUUUGAAACUGCAAGACUAGAGUGCAGCAGAGGGGAGUGGAAUUCCAUGUGUAGCAGUGAAAUGCGUAGAGAUGUGGAAGAACACCGAUGGCGAAGGCAGCUCCCUGGGUUGACACUGACGCUCAUGCACGAAAGCGUGGGGAGCAAACA